Long non-coding RNA from Syngnathus acus (greater pipefish), 1663 nucleotides. RefSeq lists it as uncharacterized. The transcript is spliced from 2 exons. The record is from RefSeq and is a predicted model, not a curated record. Lineage: Eukaryota; Metazoa; Chordata; Actinopteri; Syngnathiformes; Syngnathidae.
AUGCAGAUAUGCUACAAGUUCCAACUUGAGACGAUCAAGGUGAAAAAACGUUUCAUUUUGAAUCACACUGAACAUUUAGAUGUGUGGCGCAACAACACGAGCGAGGUUCAGCUUCUUCAAUAGACCUUUGAACAAAGUUAGUUGCCGAGUUUGAGAAAGUAGGGAGUGAACUCGACUUUAUUGGUGGCAUUUUUUUAAAAAGCCACUCCGAUCGUGUAAACACACAUGACACCAUACCGGUAGUGGCGCUUCGGGGAGAGAAAUGUAAAUAAUGGCUGAAUCUUUUAAGGAGAAUAAGCACGAUAGGCGGGCUAGAGUUAGCACGUCGCUAAGAAGCUAAUGCUAAAGGAUGCUAGGCCCACGAAGUGGUGCCUCGCACCCCGGGUCGCGUGGAUGGAAAAUGCCCGAGUGUUUACCUCACAAGCGCAAGGACGGUCAGGGACGAAGGGCCUCUCCGGUAGCUCCUUGUGGCGGCGUAUCCCAAGCGAGAUAUCCUCAUGGGCUACGAGGAGCAAACGCCGGCCGGAGCGUCCGAAAUGAAGCUGCUGCUAGGACUAAGCCAAUUUUGAGUCUGCUGCUGCACCUUGCUCAUUUGCAUGCCGGGUGUGGGAAUCCUCCAGGGAGCGUCUGAAAGUGGGAGAUAUCGCCCAGGGCCGAGCGUGUGAUUUUGAGCAGUGGGCAACCCAUGCUGGCGUCCGGUCGAAAGGAUGUUGAAAAGCGCACCAGUGCCAAAAGCAGAUCUGUACGAAUCCACAUUUUAUGGGGAAAUAUUCCCUGGAACUGCAAAUAUUGUCAAUGUUGCCCCAUAAUGAUGAUGAAACGUUCUACAUGACUCACUCGCUCACAUUCUACUUGUCUGUGCUAUUUCCUGUCAAAUAAUUUGCCACCAGAUCACGUAGAAUCAAUUAGUGAGAACAACUUUCAUCUCCAAAUAUAUUUGACAUGGAGAUUUGCGAGUUCCGUAGAAGAUGUUGUCAUGGAAACCUCUGGACAAAAUUCAAAUGGAUUAAAAUGUUCCUGAUUUCAGAAGCAGCAAGCCGCCUGGAGGACAAAGCUAACGUUUCUUGUCUGAGAUUAGCACGCGAGCGCUAGUUGAUGAGCAUCAAAAACUCGUGUUAAGCGUAAAGCGUGGCGAUCCAUUUUUCAUUUGAUUAAGUCAAAGAUAGCCAACUGAACCGCAACCACUUUAUUAUCUCCAGUCUUCAAAAGGGCCACCCUAAAAAUAAAGAUGAAUCAUAAAAAAAAUGCAAGAAAAAGAUUAGCCCAAAAUAAAGUUGUGUUUACUGGGGGAAAAAAAUCACAAUAUAUCAGAAUAAAUUUGUUGUUAUUUUGACAAAUCCAUAUCUUCAUAUCAUUUUAUUUAGUUAAACAUUUCAUACCUAUUUACAAAAAGCACCAACAGAAAAUAACAUCUUUGGCUGUGAUGCAUUUGUAUAUUUACAACAACAGAACAUCAAAAAACAAAACUGCAUUCACAUUGAGAUCAGUGCCACAUGCACAAACUGCCACUAGGAAUCAAAAAUGUUUUUGCCACAUGAACUGUGUGUGUUUUGAUGGCUUUCUUUGACCCUAUAGAAUGCAGUGCUGCUGUCCGUUGAAGAUUAUCAGGAUGAAAUUCAGCGUUUCCCAGAGCGUGACCUCAGAUGAGCACACCCACAGAAAA